CCCAAUGCUUCUUAUUUCCAAACAGGAAAAAAGUUUCAUAUCUUUCAGAAACCAGUUCAUUAAUACAGGCAAAUUCCACUGCUUGAUACUUCAUCAGUGUCAAAAAGCUUACUGAUUACAACAGAAGUGGCAUGUUGUUCUGGACUUCCACAGAAACACUCUUCACUCACCUGAGACCAAGUAGUAAUACCACAGAGCAAUUCUGCAGAAGUUUGGGGUUUUUUUUUUAAAGAAAAGCACACUGGGGCAAUGCUACUCUUUGUCAAGACAGUUUUGAAGUAAAUCUAUAUGAUAUGACAUUAAAGUUGUUGGUUGCAGUCGGAACAUUAAUUGUAUUGAAGGCUCCCAAUAUAAUCAGACAUUUUUAGACUGUCUCACUAGAGCAGGCAAAAUGAGCUUUAACUUCAUUACUGUUCUCACAGAUAGAUAAUAGAGAAUAGUUUAUAUAUUGAUAGAACCUACUGAGGCUGCGGUGCAGACUGCAGCUGCUGAACUUGUUACUCAUGAGAGCAGUGCACAAUUCAGAUAAGACUAUUAAAUGUCCAUUUUAGAGUGGGUCUCUGUGGAGUAUAAUCUACCUCAACAUGACUGACUCUUAAGUAUGUAUCUCAAUUGCUGACGUUUUUAUUGUCAGUGGCUUGCACCCUCAUAUCUACCUGCCAACGCUAAAAACUGAGGUUCCUUAGUGCUUUUCACUCCAAGAAUGCAUUGGCAUUAGGUCUUCUGGCUUUAGUCUUUUAACACCCUGAUUGUACCUUCAUCAAGACACUAUUGCAUCCUGUAUUGUUAUGUAUACAAAUUUCACCAUAGCUCAUACAUUCCGUGUCUGUAAGAAAGUCUAGACAGCAAAGGAUACUAUGUGGACUUUUAGUAUUAGGAAGAUUCUUUUCAGCGAGGCAGAAUAUUGCUACGUAAUGGGACAUCAUCCAGGAUAAGUGAUGUUAUAAAACUGAUAUAUAAUCCUGUUCCCAAACUUUCUACCCGCAGUGGGGAUAUUCCCUAAUCUAAUUGUUUUAUUUCUUGUUCCUGGCAUUCCUUUUUAGUUACUGUUUAUUACCUGAGUUAUGCAAACCAGUUCUGUCCUGCUUGUCUUUGGAGACGGACUCAAAUACUUGUGGUUCUUUUCCUUUUUUUGAAGCUGUGGUACCUUUGCCAAUACCUGAAAAAGUGUAAUUGCAGCAUUUUCCUGCAACAUUUUCAUUUUAAAAGG
This is a long non-coding RNA of Falco peregrinus (peregrine falcon), 1210 nucleotides long. RefSeq lists it as uncharacterized. Lineage: Eukaryota; Metazoa; Chordata; Aves; Falconiformes; Falconidae. The record is from RefSeq and is a predicted model, not a curated record. The transcript has 2 exons.